This 1516-nucleotide long non-coding RNA is filed under the name Pan troglodytes (chimpanzee). Its description in RNAcentral is "lncRNA (ENSPTRG00000053023.1)". Lineage: Eukaryota; Metazoa; Chordata; Mammalia; Primates; Hominidae. The record is from RNAcentral.
GGGCCUCUGGGCCCACCUGCUGAGUCUGCUUUGGCUCCCAGUGUCAGAACUGGAAUGCUGGGAGUAACCCGGCUCCGUCUAGCCCCAGAGGAGCUGCCACCGAGGCCUGUCAGGCGUGGAGAGUUUUUUCCAACGACUGGCUUCGUAGGCCCCACUGGAGAGCGUUUUGGCAUUUGAGCCCCAGGUCCUGUGCAUCUUACGUCAGCCCCAGUGUUGAGGAUGCCAGGGGCCCUGUCCCUCUGAAGCCCCUUCUGCCUGCCCUGCAGCAGUUGCAGCUCCUGGGCCGGUUCUGCCAAGAGCAGGGGAUCCCGUUCCCGCCCAUCUCGCCCAGCCCCAAAGAGCAGCUCCAGCCUCGGGAGUGCCACACCUUCUCCCACCCCACCUGCCCUGGAGCCCCUGCGGUGCCGCACUUUCCUCUGGUCAGCGACUCCUUCCGGGAGUACUCGGCCCCUGGGAUCCGGCGGCCACCCGAGGAGGCGGCAGUUGGGGAGGUGAACCUGUCUUCAUCGGACUCUCCCUACCACUACACGAAGGUGACCUACAGCCAGGAGGACGUGGACAAGCUGCUGCACCUGACACAUUACAAUGUCUGCAACAACCAGGAGCAGCUGCUGGAGGCUCUGCACCAGGCAGUGCAGCGGAGGCGGCAGCGCAGGCCCCACUGAUGGCUGGGGCCCCUGCCACCCCUAACUAACUAACUCUCAUUCAUUCCCUGGCUGCUGAGUUGCAGGUGGGAACUGUCAUCACGCAGUGCUUCAGAGCCUCGGGCUCAGGUGGCACUGUCCCAGGGUCCAGGCUGAGGGCUGGGAGCUCCCUUGCGCCUCAGCAGUUUGCAGUGGGGUAAGGAGGCCAAGCCCAUUUGUGUAAUCACCCCAAACCCCCCGGCCUGUGCCUGUUUUCCCUUCUGCGCUACCUUGAGUAGUUGGAGCACUUGAUACAUUACAGACUCAUACAAAUGUGAGGCGCUGAGAAGGGCCAUGUCAUUCUAGGCUCUUGGCUGUACAUGGCAAGGGCUGGUACAGAGCUCGCUCAUCAGUGUUCUUCCUCCGAAGAGCACAUUCUCUGCACACAUCUGCGUCUACCUGUGCUCAGAGUCACCCCUUCCAAGCAAGGAGGCGGCCACAUGGGCCUGGGGUAGCCCUGGCCUUGCCCACCUGCUCUGCCGUAACACGUCUCCUCUUCAUCCAGACAGGAAUGCAGGGGGAGACCAGGCAAUGGCUGUUUCCUGCCACAUGGUAGGACCCAUCUAACCAGAAGGAACUGUCUAUUCCAGAAGCUGGGCCUGGGGAACUGGGUUGAAGGAGCCCUUUUGCCUGUAGCUGAGUCUCAUUCUGGUUCCUUAGAUGUGUCCUCGCUUGUGCCCCUGAAGUUUGGUGUUGCACUGGGGUUCACCUCAGGGAUCAGACCUGUUGGGAAAACGGAAUGAAUUUAGUAGGGUAUGGCCACCCCAGAAUCUUCUCCAAACAAACAAACACUGGUGCCCCUGCCCUCCCCUGGACCAGCCAGCCUCCUAGAA